GGGAGGGCGGCACCUUCCGUGCCCGCCCCCUCUGUACCUGCCGGGCCGGGCGGUGCCGGGCAUGGGCGGCCCGCGGGGGCAGAGGGGGAGAACGGGGGUGAUCAGAUCACGGAGAAGAAGAAAGACAAGAAAAUGACGAAAAGGAGGAGCGGUCGCCGCCGUAGGGACGUGGCCGCUGUCCCGGAGCCGUGGGAACCGCCGUGAGAGGCAGUGCCGCCCGGUCUCAGCCCGUGGGGAGCUCGGGUCCGUGGGAGAAUCGCCCGGAGCGCGAAGGGGCCCCGACAACAUCGCCUGAGCGCGUGGUGCCCGGGCUGCCCGCGGGGGUGCGGGAACCAGCGUGUGCUGGAAGCCCUUCAGCUGUCAGGGGAGCCCGGUGUAGUUUGUAACCCAAAAGUCUUUUCUCGUUUUCAAGAAAGGAAGCUUGUUGCCCAGCCGGCGUGUCGCUGUGCCAGCCAGCGGGGAGGCCGGGCGGGGGUGUCACCCACCCACGGGCAAACGCUGCCUGGCGCAGUCUGAGGUGAAUAGUAGGUGUUUCAGCUCUCCAGGGGCCAGCUGCUGAGGAGAAAUCACGUAUACAAUCAACAGCCUUUGUCAGCCAGAUUUCUCUCCCCCCUGCUUCUCUCCGUGUGACAGCAACCAGCUGCAAUGAAAGCUGAAGACAUUUUAAAACCACAAGACCCAAAGCCCUGCUGCUUAUUUUGUGCAGCUUUCAGCUGCACAAAAGAAAUGUUCACGUUUCUGACGUGCAAAAGUGAAAAACAGAUAAUCAAAGAUACCACCAAGGUGCUGAAAUACAUUGGAAAUUGCAUAAUGUGUAUCAAUAUAAACACCCCAUUGAUGAGGAUUGGGUUUGCACUGCUACUGAAUCGAUGCCAAAUAAUAUAUUAAUUAUUUUACUGAUAAUAGACUCAUUCCCUUCUGCUCUCUGUGUUCUGAGCCUUUGAAGUUGAGGAAUCACAGCCCUGAGAGGUACUCCCAGAGUUAUGAUGCUUAGUGCAUAUGACCCAGCAGUAAGAAGAUCUGUAGUCUGUGCAGUUGCUUCACCUCUGAGAGAACUAAGUCAAGGCUGCAAAGAGAACAUUACCCAGCCCUGUGUCAUGCAGAGACUUCCUUCACACUGAAGUAAUCCAGUGUUUGCCUAAGGAAUGGUAUAAAGCAGAUGGACUAAAAUAAAUGCACAAACUCUAAAUGUUCAGAAGAGAAGACAAAAAUCAAUUCAUAUUUACACUGUUGGGUUUUUAAGAAAUGAAGUAAUAACUCACUCAAUUCUCAAUAUUGUUCUUGAAUAUACAAGAUAUUUGCCAAAGUCUAUAACCAUGUGUGGUUUAUUUUAAAUAUGAUGCAAUCCAUAGCCUGCAUUCUUCUUAAUUUUGCAGUAUGAGUUGUCUUUAUCCAUUAUUUAUUGUGCUCAAAUAUGAGGAGGAUCAGAAUAUUAGACAGAAAUAGCACAGUGGCUUUGAGUAUGACUUGUAGAAAUGAGAUGAAACUGAGUAGUAAAAACAGCAGUGCUUAAGGGUCUGGAUUGAGAAUGAUUGCAGGGGAGAUCCAGGAGUGGCUGGGAGUUGCCCUGGCAAUGUGGCCUUAGAAAGAUGAAUGCAGGUCCCUGGGGCUUCUGGUAAGAGAUUCCCACAAAAGCCAGGGAUGCAUUAGUGCCAUUGUGCAAGGCCCUAAAGCACCUUAUCAGGAAUAAUGUGUAUGAUUCUCUCUGUCCAUUUUCUAGAAGUGAAUUUAGAUUGGAACAGGUUCAGAGGACAAAUAGCAUGUCUGGGAAAAUAGGAAAGAGGAGAUGAGGCACCAUGGCAAAACAAAAUGACAGAAGAUCAAAGAAAAUAUAUAAAAUAUAUAUAUAUACUUCCAAUGGAUAGGUGUAAUUUCUGUUGACUUGAUAUAAUUUCUGUUCCUACAUGUAAUUUCUUAACAAUCAACAGAGUCAUUUUCAGGUGGUGAGAGACUUCAUGAGCAACAGGGAGGAAAUAUAUUAUUUUAAAUAAAAGAUUAUGUUCAUUCCAGAAGUAUUUAUAAAUUAAUAACAGACACAUUUCUAGAGAAAUGUACAGAUUCCUAAUUCUGAAGACAGUCUGUAAUGUGUCUCCAGCAGAAUUAAGUGGGAACUAAAAGAUUUUAGUGCUUUAAAGCUGGAGCUCAAGACAAAGUGAUUCUAUACAGUGUUGCUUUUAACACCAAAGGACAGGACUCAGUCCAGAAAAUCCCUUUAGUUUUUCUGUUCAUCUUUGUCUUUUAGGUAUCUUGCCAUCUAAAAAGUAAUAAUAAACCAAAUCACUGCUAUGGAAGGAAUUCAAAAUCCUUCUGUCUGAAGUUUUCUAAAACUAAUAAUGAUUUGGGGGUCCUUUGAAGAACAAUGGCUUCCAAACAAAUCUGUCAAAUAUUAAUUUAAGUCUGUUUAGUCUACAGCAGUGAAAUUGCUUUGAAUAGAAAAUACAUGAUAAAAUAUGUGUAAUGGGUCUUGUCAAAAAGCUUUUUCACUCUGUUUUGCAUUUUCCAAUAACAGACAAUCUCCACUGCCUUUAAUGAAAAGUAAUAAAACUUCUGAAGCCAGAACUGAUUGCUGGUUAAUUUAAAAGAAAGGAAAGUUUAUUACCUCUCUUUGCAGUAUACUGCUCAUUCUCUGAAUCUAGAAGUCAGUGGUUAAAUAAAGUCUCUCUGGGAGGAAUUUUCCAUUGUGAGUCAUAAGCAUUGGAUUGACAACCUUUAUAGAAAUUUAAAUGCAACCCUAUUAAACAAUACACUUCUAUAAAAGCUGAGGGAUAAAUUCCUCUCACUGAGUGCGGGGGCACUAAGGUGCAGUAUCUGAGAGAAUGACCUGCAGGGAGUUUAUGUAGCUAUGAGAAGCCAUGAGGUUGGGAUCUGCCUGGCUGGAGGAGGACAGGAUAUCUAAUGGUACAGAGCCCAUCAGCCAGCAGCAAUUAUCUAAAUGGUGUUUGCCCACAGGAAUAAAGCAACAGCCACAUAAAUAAACAAUUGUUGGGCUUAUUUCAAUAUCACGUUAGAGCUGGAUAUUGCUCUUGCAAACAUCACUUGAAACAAGUAUUUCAGUAAAAUGAAAAUAACUAUCACAAUACUUCCUGGCCUGUAUUUUAAGUGUACAAAAUUUAGGAAAAAAAAAGUCCUCUAAACUUAUUUUGUGUUUUCAUCAAUUUUGUCUCCCAUAACUAUCAGUUUUGGCUUAAUUUUGAGUUUUCCCCUGUAAACUCUGGGUUACCUAUAAGUGAAAAGUGUAUAUGUGUGCAAAAUUAAAAAUUUCAAACACUACUCCUGUCACUAAAAAAAAAAAAAAAACAUUGGGGAAAUUACAGUUUCCCAUAUUUAAAACAAUUGGCAAAUGUAAUGCCAGUCAACCCUCUUGGGAUGGUGAGCAUACACAUGAAGGAGAAAACUAGAGAGAUCACAGAUGAUGUUGUAAUGAUGCACAGGAAGAAUGCUGAGAAGAGGAUAUGUGAAGAUGCUGGACAGCUUUCUGGAACAACAGAGAAGGCAACACCAGCAGCUAUUUUGGGAAUGUGUAACAUCCCUGUUCUGACUGAAUCUGAGCACUCAGAAAUGCCAGUGUGUGGCCACAAGUUUGUGAUGCUGACCCUGGCUGCUGGACUGGGCUCAAGGUGAAGCUUUUGGACACAGACACUUCUUUGUGGUGGCAAUUCUAGAAGCAGUUCUCAAAGUCUACAAAGCUACAUGAGCUUAAAAGCCACCACUCCUAAUAUAAUCCCUUCUGGCAUCAGGUCAGGAACAUGGUGCUGUGCAAGUUAUUUCUUGUUUUCACCCUUCUGCUAUCACCACCUCUAUCCUGCUUAAGAUCUGCACUGGUAGGAGCUUCCUGGGGAAGGGCAUUGCAAGGUGUUUGUAAGCUACAAACCCCAUGCAGCUCACCACUGUGGUUCUCAGAGUGCAGGAGUGCCAAAAGAGAAAUGCAGUGAGGCCCUGCCACUUCAAGAGUGUUACUAUUAACAUUUUCUGUCUUGUAGCAUUAAUUUUUGUCAACAUCCAUGUCUACAUGUUAUUUCUUGUUUCUUAAAGCAAAUUAUUGUUUACUGCUAGUGAUCAGCUGCUCUAACUUCUCACUCAAACCCAGCUACUAAUAAAACAUCAACGUUUGUGCUUUGCUGUACAUAUGUUUUUCUAUUGGUAAAACUGAAUAGCUCGUUAUGCCAAAUGUUUGAACAAGCAGAUGAACAAAACCCAGUAAAGAAUCUACACAAGUGAGUUGGUUUCUACACAUUCUCCUGAGCCAGCAAUCAGAGAUUUAAAGUAUUUAGAAACAAAACAAUCCAUUAACCAGUGCAGUCCAUAAAAUUAAUCAGCCAUAAUAUACUCUCUAAGAUUAGCAGUAGUUUCCCACCAGCCAUAACCUCUCUCCCUCCAGCAAAACAGGCACUUUACAGGUCUGUAUCACUCCCUGGCUCAUGCCAGCCCACAAUCCAGAGAGCAGCACAGCUAUUUACAGUUGGUUUCAUUAAAAUUGCCUUGUAUUGCAGAGAUGGGAGCAUUCAUACACGUGUAUGUAUGUAUUUUAUGUGUAUAUGUACGUAUUAUUUGUACGUAUAUAAUCACUGGUUUUUUGUGUCCUGCACUUCUAUUCCAACAAGGAUGCAUCCUGUCCACUUUGGUAAACUCUGAUGAGAGAAGAACCAUUUAAUUUCAACUAGCUUGGAGAAUAUCACUUAUCUUUGGCCUUUCCAAUGCAUUUUAUACUGAAACUUCUGCAGCAGCAGAGGCUGUAACUGGACUUUCAAUGUAACUUUCCUGUCUGGAUGAGGUUUUAUAGCCCAGGGCCUCAGGACAGGCAGGAUUUCCAAGAUACAUUUUAUUGGAAAGCUUUGAAUAGCUCUGCUCCUUCACAUGGAUUUUUGAAAUCACUGCUGGUCAUGCAAGAUAAUUUGAAUCCAAAGUCAUGUGGAAAACCUCCCACUCUCAAAGUCCUGAUGUGUUUGCCAGUUUUGUAAGCAGUUGCCCUAUAAAUAUAAAUCUCUUCCUAUGGUAAACAUUUACAAUGAAUCAAAGAGAUCUGUAGUGGAUGCUUGAUGAGUUCAACAGAUGUAUGAGAUUUCAAAGGCUCUGCAAACAUGACUGGUUCUCCAGUGGGUAGUCUUACCUGAAGUGAGGUAGAUGAUAUUUUUACUAAGAAAAAGUGUGGGAAUUUUUCCAGACCUGGAAACAGCCAUAGCUCAGUAUGCAACUCUUUUGUAUUCUCUUUUCAGCCACUGCUGACUUAAAUUCUAAAUUAUUCUAUGAAAUCUCUUUUUGGUUUCUUAGCAAGUAGACUUAUGCCUCUCUUGAGUUUAGUUACAGAGAGUAAAGGUACAGAGACUGGAUCAUCAAUAUUAAGAUUUGUUAAAUGUAUGAUUACUAAAUGAAGAAAUUUCCAAUUAUUCUGCUUUGCGCCAUAUUUUUUUUCAAAAUGUUAACAAAAUCUUUCUUGAUUGAUAAGUAUUGAUAAAAAUAAAUCUGGAUAAAUUUUCUGAUAGCUUCCAUUUCAUAAUGUUAUGUUUGUUUCCAGUGUUUCUAGUGAUCUCUCACUUGCCCCACCAAAAAUACUGAAAAAGAGAAACUAUAGUAAGUGUUCAUUCUAAUACAGGCACAUCAAGGAAGUGCAGAGAACAUGACAGCAUGGUAAUCAGUAUACCAACUGAUGGUGGCAAUGCUUUCUGCAAUUACAAACCUGGCUCUGGCUUCUCUCAGGCUCUCUCAAAAUUCUGUUCAAAUUGAUGAGGCAAAGUUUAAUGUUCACAGAAUUUUUCACUGAACUUAUGCCCCUGUUUUAAUUCUGUGAGGAUGGGAUGCCAAUGGCAGGAGCAGAGAUUUGGGAAAAGGCAUCAUCCUUGCCGUCAGGCCCAGGAUAGUGCAGGAACAGUUUCUAAUGUUGGUGGCAUUUUCUACUGAAGGAACACAGCAGGAGAUAAAAGGUGGGUGGAGUGGCUGGCAUUUAGCUGAGUCACACUGCUUCUAACAUCAAAAGAAUUUCAGUUCAAUAAUUGGCCAAAGGGUCAACCAGAUCCUUGCCUUGCCUAAGGCAAUAUUUCCAUGAUGCUUUUGGUCUGUGCAAUUGCUUCCAUACAAACAAGUCAGGGAGCCUAGGCAAACUCCUUAAUUCUUAGAGGGCUUUAUGCUGGGCUAGGAAUUGUCAUUUUCUUAAACACUGGACAUGUAACUGCACAGUUUAGCUUCCCCAGUUGUGUUUAUUGUGCGGUUCUGGUAUCUUUUCUCAUCCGUUGAAUAAUUGAGCUGGUUUGCAAUAAACACUUUUAAUCUGUGCUGCCUACGUUUUAGGUAAUUAUGGUCUUGCUAAAUAAGUUUUUA
Zonotrichia albicollis (white-throated sparrow) is the source of this 6312-nucleotide long non-coding RNA. RefSeq lists it as uncharacterized. The record is from RefSeq and is a predicted model, not a curated record. Lineage: Eukaryota; Metazoa; Chordata; Aves; Passeriformes; Passerellidae.